UGAAACCGUGUGCUUACAAGUAGUCAGAGCCCGUUAAUGGGUGAUGGCGUGCCUUUUGUAGAAUGAACCGGCGAGUUACGAUUUGAUGCAAGGUUAAGCAGUAAAUGUGGAGCCGUAGCGAAAGCGAGUCUGAAUAGGGCGUUUAGUAUUUGGUCGUAGACCCGAAACCAGGUGAUCUACCCUUGGUCAGGUUGAAGUUCAGGUAACACUGAAUGGAGGACCGAACCGACUUACGUUGAAAAGUGAGCGGAUGAACUGAGGGUAGCGGAGAAAUUCCAAUCGAACCUGGAGAUAGCUGGUUCUCUCCGAAAUAGCUUUAGGGCUAGCCUCAAGUGAUGAUUAUUGGAGGUAGAGCACUGUUUGGACGAGGGGCCCCUCUCGGGUUACCGAAUUCAGACAAACUCCGAAUGCCAAUUAAUUUAACUUGGGAGUCAGAACAUGGGUGAUAAGGUCCGUGUUCGAAAGGGAAACAGCCCAGACCACCAGCUAAGGUCCCAAAAUAUAUGUUAAGUGGAAAAGGAUGUGGCGUUGCCCAGACAACUAGGAUGUUGGCUUAGAAGCAGCCAUCAUUUAAAGAGUGCGUAAUAGCUCACUAGUCGAGUGACACUGCGCCGAAAAUGUACCGGGGCUAAACAUAUUACCGAAGCUGUGGAUUGUCCUUUGGACAAUGGUAGGAGAGCGUUCUAAGGGCGUUGAAGCAUGAUCGUAAGGACAUGUGGAGCGCUUAGAAGUGAGAAUGCCGGUGUGAGUAGCGAAAGACGGGUGAGAAUCCCGUCCACCGAUUGACUAAGGUUUCCAGAGGAAGGCUCGUCCGCUCUGGGUUAGUCGGGUCCUAAGCUGAGGCCGACAGGCGUAGGCGAUGGAUAACAGGUUGAUAUUCCUGUACCACCUAUAAUCGUUUUAAUCGAUGGGGGGACGCAGUAGGAUAGGCGAAGCGUGCGAUUGGAUUGCACGUCUAAGCAGUAAGGCUGAGUAUUAGGCAAAUCCGGUACUCGUUAAGGCUGAGCUGUGAUGGGGAGAAGACAUUGUGUCUUCGAGUCGUUGAUUUCACACUGCCGAGAAAAGCCUCUAGAUAGAAAAUAGGUGCCCGUACCGCAAACCGACACAGGUAGUCAAGAUGAGAAUUCUAAGGUGAGCGAGCGAACUCUCGUUAAGGAACUCGGCAAAAUGACCCCGUAACUUCGGGAGAAGGGGUGCUCUUUAGGGUUAACGCCCAGAAGAGCCGCAGUGAAUAGGCCCAAGCGACUGUUUAUCAAAAACACAGGUCUCUGCUAAACCGUAAGGUGAUGUAUAGGGGCUGACGCCUGCCCGGUGCUGGAAGGUUAAGAGGAGUGGUUAGCUUCUGCGAAGCUACGAAUCGAAGCCCCAGUAAACGGCGGCCGUAACUAUAACGGUCCUAAGGUAGCGAAAUUCCUUGUCGGGUAAGUUCCGACCCGCACGAAAGGCGUAACGAUUUGGGCACUGUCUCAACGAGAGACUCGGUGAAAUCAUAGUACCUGUGAAGAUGCAGGUUACCCGCGACAGGACGGAAAGACCCCGUGGAGCUUUACUGUAGCCUGAUAUUGAAAUUCGGCACAGCUUGUACAGGAUAGGUAGGAGCCUUUGAAACGUGAGCGCUAGCUUACGUGGAGGCGCUGGUGGGAUACUACCCUAGCUGUGUUGGCUUUCUAACCCGCACCACUUAUCGUGGUGGGAGACAGUGUCAGGCGGGCAGUUUGACUGGGGCGGUCGCCUCCUAAAAGGUAACGGAGGCGCUCAAAGGUUCCCUCAGAAUGGUUGGAAAUCAUUCAUAGAGUGUAAAGGCAUAAGGGAGCUUGACUGCGAGACCUACAAGUCGAGCAGGGUCGAAAGACGGACUUAGUGAUCCGGUGGUUCCGCAUGGAAGGGCCAUCGCUCAACGGAUAAAAGCUACCCCGGGGAUAACAGGCUUAUCUCCCCCAAGAGUUCACAUCGACGGGGAGGUUUGGCACCUCGAUGUCGGCUCAUCGCAUCCUGGGGCUGUAGUCGGUCCCAAGGGUUGGGCUGUUCGCCCAUUAAAGCGGUACGCGAGCUGGGUUCAGAACGUCGUGAGACAGUUCGGUCCCUAUCCGUCGUGGGCGUAGGAAAUUUGAGAGGAGCUGUCCUUAGUACGAGAGGACCGGGAUGGACAUACCUCUGGUGUACCAGUUGUCGUGCCAACGGCAUAGCUGGGUAGCUAUGUGUGGACGGGAUAAGUGCUGAAAGCAUCUAAGCAUGAAGCCCCCCUCAAGAUGAGAUUUCCCAACUUCGGUUAUAAGAUCCCUCAAAGAUGAUGAGGUUAAUAGGUUCGAGGUGGAAGCAUGGUGACAUGUGGAGCUGACGAAUACUAAUCGAUCGAAGACUUAAUCAA
This 2368-nucleotide ribosomal RNA is filed under the name Staphylococcus aureus. Its description in RNAcentral is "partial 23S ribosomal RNA". It matches the Rfam family "Bacterial large subunit ribosomal RNA", at positions 551 to 2925 of the family's 2925-position model. Lineage: Bacteria; Bacillati; Bacillota; Bacilli; Caryophanales; Staphylococcaceae. The record is from RNAcentral.